GAGGAAGAGCCGGACGGCGGUUACGCCGCAAACCCCGCCAGGUCUGAAAGGAAGCAACGGUAACGGCAGUGCCGGGUGUCCGGCUUUUCCUUCCC
RNAcentral lists this signal recognition particle RNA (95 nucleotides) under Desulfovibrio sp. Its description in RNAcentral is "signal recognition particle sRNA small type". It matches the Rfam family "Bacterial small signal recognition particle RNA". Rfam says of the family: The signal recognition particle (SRP) is a universally conserved ribonucleoprotein involved in the co-translational targeting of proteins to membranes. Archaeal SRP consists of a 7S RNA and homologues of the eukaryotic SRP19 and SRP54 proteins. In most bacteria, the SRP consists of a 4.5S RNA and the Ffh protein (a homologue of the eukaryotic SRP54 protein). Lineage: Bacteria; Pseudomonadati; Thermodesulfobacteriota; Desulfovibrionia; Desulfovibrionales; Desulfovibrionaceae. The record is from RNAcentral.